AGAUAAAGAGGAUACAGUGGUAAAGAACAAUAACAAAGUCCCCAUGGGUCUUCAGAUGUUCCUGUUUCUAGGACUGCAGUGGAUGACUGCUUACUGCCUAAAGUUUGGGGCUGACCAAGUUCGACCCACAGGAUCAUAGUCAAUGCCACUUCUAGGGGCGUGCAAGAAUGAGAAUAAGGACGACAGGUGUGGACAGAUGUGCAAGAGCAGGUGCGAGAGAGGAAGUGUUGGGAAAGUGGAUUAGUUAGUGUGGAAACCAGCUGGAACAGGCAGGCCACAGGGAUUCCCCCAGAGGGACACCCAAACCCACGGAUGGGCCAGGGACCACAUGUAUCAGAAUCACCUGGAGACAUGAUUAAAAAUGCAGGUUAGCAGGCCCCACCCAGGAACCUGGAUGUGAGUUCCAGAGGUGUGUCUGAGCUUCCACAUUCUUAGCUGGCACCCCCACGUGAUUCUGAAGCGCGCUCAAGUUUGAAAGGCACUGGAUUAGUGUUUAGUUUUCGUGAGCGGUCGAAGGCGCUCCCAACGCGGUCUGGCCUGAAAUCCACUCGUGGCAGUCCUUUAUAGACAAUUUAGGCAAAGCCAGAGACACAGCACAUCUGGAUCAUCAUCAAGUCCCUUAUAUUCCUGUGAACAAGACAGAAAUAUGUGCCUUUGGGUGUCAAGACAAUUGCCAGAACUUGUUACUCAUUAAAUGAUCAUGCCCCAUACAUGUCUACUUAGGGUUCUCAAGGGCCAGGAGACCCCAACAGUAUGUCACAGGCCUCUGACUUUGGAUCCAAUUGUGCAAUGUUUUCAUCAACGCGAUGAUGAAAAAUAAUGGAAGCUUACUUUUCAGAUCUGAGAUGAUACCAAAUAGAGAAGAAAAGCAAGGUUGUGAGGUGCUAAAAUCAAUAGCUGUGAAGACCCCAACAACAGAGAAGAUCUAUUUUUAAAACUGUUAAACCCUUUAUUCAGACGGAAAUCUGAUAUAGAAAUACAAUAUAAACCCAAGGACAGAGGAGCUGCUGUGUCUGAAAUGGGAGAGAACACCUGAGCCCUGACUCUCAAAUCCCCUUACACCAUUCCCUCCUCUACUUUUCAAGAAGGCUCCUCAGUGACGCCCCAAGGGGCUCCUGACACUUACAUGGGGCAAUCUAACAUGAAGAAAUUUAACAAUCACAUCAAAUCUACAAAGGGCAGAUAGCUCAUCCUUACUUUUGCCUUUUGAGAUAAUGAAAUAAAGAACUUUGUAGGUUCUCUGAG
Molecule: long non-coding RNA, 1245 nt
Organism: Felis catus (domestic cat)
Lineage: Eukaryota; Metazoa; Chordata; Mammalia; Carnivora; Felidae
Exons: 2
Source: RefSeq, a predicted model, not a curated record